UCUCCUCUUAUGGUGCUGGAAUAGAUGACACGAUAUAAUUUGGACCAGAGAUAUCUUGUACACCGCCAAGCACUUUUUUUUGGAGGUCUCUCCGCAGAUCAUCUACAGGAGCUAGGGGAUCCAAUAUUUUUUUAAAUAAACCGCUGAUUGUUAAAGUA
Molecule: long non-coding RNA, 158 nt
Filed under: Polistes fuscatus (common paper wasp)
Lineage: Eukaryota; Metazoa; Arthropoda; Insecta; Hymenoptera; Vespidae
Description: uncharacterized LOC122523785
Source: RNAcentral